GAUGAACGCUGGCGGCGUGCCUAGUACAUGCAAGUCGAGCGAACAGAUGAGGAGCUUGCUCCUCUGACGUUAGCGGCGGACGGGUGAGUAACACGUGGAUAACCUACCUAUAAGACUGGGAUAACUUCGGGAAACCGGAGCUAAUACCGGAUAAUAUAUUGAACCGCAUGGUUCAAUAGUGAAAGACGGUUUUGCUUUCACUUAUAGAUGGAUCCGCGCCGCAUUAGCUAGUUGGUAAGGUAACGGCUUACCAAGGCAACGAUGCGUAGCCGACCUGAGAGGGUGAUCGGCCACACUGGAACUGAGACACGGUCCAGACUCCUACGGGAGGAAGCAGUAGGGAAUCUUCCGCAAUGGGCGAAAGCCUGACGGAGCAACGCCGCGUGAGUGAUGAAGGUCUUCGGAUCGGAAAACUCUGUUAUUAGGGAAGAACAAAUGUGUAAGUAACUAUGAACGUCUUGACGGUACCUAAUCAGAAAGCCACGGCUAACUACGUG
Molecule: ribosomal RNA, 497 nt
Filed under: uncultured bacterium
Lineage: Bacteria
Description: partial 16S ribosomal RNA
Rfam family: Bacterial small subunit ribosomal RNA
Source: RNAcentral